GAUUUUCUAAUAAAUGCAACAGGACAUUUUGCCAUCUGUAGCAUAAUGCAGUUUGAUAGCAUUGGAUGAUAUUUUAUUGCUUGUCGAUGGACACAUAAAUUAUUUCUAUAUCUUUCUAUGCGAGACAAAAUUUGAUAAAGAUAACAAUCAUUCUUCUUCUCUUCAUAAAUAUCUCUUCCGACAUGAAUUAUCUUCUUUUCACCCUUGCCUUCUUUGUAUUAAGUUUCAAUUUAUUGCUACCUAUUUAGUCGUCGAUUAAUUUUAAUUACGAAUUAUGGAAAGUGAUAAAGUAUUAACAAUAGAGAGGCGUUUUCUUGCAACGCUGAAAACAUGAUAACAAUAUCAACCUUUUGAUCGAAACGAAUCAAAUGUUCAAAUAGUUAUGAACGCUAGUGUAC
RNAcentral lists this unclassified non-coding RNA (398 nucleotides) under Bombus terrestris (buff-tailed bumblebee). RNAcentral's name for it is "misc RNA ENSBTSG00005039247.1". The record is from RNAcentral. Lineage: Eukaryota; Metazoa; Arthropoda; Insecta; Hymenoptera; Apidae.